AGGACGAACGCUGGCGGCGUGCUUAACACAUGCAAGUCGAGCGGAAAGGCCCUUCGGGGUACUCGAGCGGCGAACGGGUGAGUAACACGUGAGUAAUCUGCCCCUAGCUCUGGGAUAGCUCCGGGAAACCGGGAUUAAUACCAGAUACGACCACUUUAGACAUCUUCUGUGGUGGAAAGAACUUCGGCUAGGGAUGAACUCGCGGCCUAUCAGCUUGUUGGUGAGGUAACGGCUCACCAAGGCGACGACGGGUAGCCGGCCUGAGAGGGCGACCGGCCACACUGGGACUGAGACACGGCCCAGACUCCUACGGGAGGCAGCAGUGGGGAAUAUUGCGCAAUGGGCGAAAGCCUGACGCAGCGACGCCGCGUGGGGGAUGAAGGCCUUCGGGUUGUAAACCCCUUUCAGCAGGGACGAAGCGAAGUGACGGUACCUGCAGAAGAGCGCCGGCUACUACGCGCCAGCAGCCGC
This 471-nucleotide ribosomal RNA is filed under the name uncultured bacterium. RNAcentral's name for it is "SSU rRNA". It matches the Rfam family "Bacterial small subunit ribosomal RNA", at positions 26 to 518 of the family's 1533-position model. The record is from RNAcentral.